This 133-nucleotide microRNA precursor is filed under the name Dasypus novemcinctus (nine-banded armadillo). RNAcentral's name for it is "miRNA (ENSDNOG00000032689.1)". Lineage: Eukaryota; Metazoa; Chordata; Mammalia; Cingulata; Dasypodidae. The record is from RNAcentral.
UCAAAUGUGAAUUUUAGAUAACAAUUUCUUUUUUGAAUACCUAUAUCCCAUGCAAUAUUUGGGACAUAUUUAUACUAAAAAUAUUAUUUAAUAUUUAUCUGAAAUUCAAACCUAACCAGACAGCCUAUAUUUU